Molecule: ribosomal RNA, 433 nt
Filed under: uncultured bacterium
Lineage: Bacteria
Description: bacterial SSU rRNA
Rfam family: Bacterial small subunit ribosomal RNA
Source: RNAcentral
AGAACGAACGCUGGCGGCAGGCUUAACACAUGCAAGUCGAACGCCCCGCAAGGGGAGUGGCAGACGGGUGAGUAACGCGUGGGAAUCUACCCAGUUCUACGGAACAACACAGGGAAACUUGUGCUAAUACCGCAUACGCCCCAAGGGGGAAAGAUUUAUCGGAAUUGGAUGAGCCCGCGUUGGAUUAGCUAGUUGGUGAGGUAAUGGCUCACCAAGGCGACGAUCCAUAGCUGGUCUGAGAGGAUGAUCAGCCACACUGGGACUGAGACACGGCCCAGACUCCUACGGGAGGCAGCAGUGGGGAAUAUUGGACAAUGGGCGCAAGCCUGAUCCAGCCAUGCCGCGUGAGUGAUGAAGGCCUUAGGGUUGUAAAGCUCUUUCAGUGGGGAAGAUAAUGACGGUACCCACAGAAGAAGCCCCGGCUAACUUCGUG